Molecule: long non-coding RNA, 1277 nt
Organism: Oreochromis aureus
Lineage: Eukaryota; Metazoa; Chordata; Actinopteri; Cichliformes; Cichlidae
Source: Ensembl
UGCGGGUUACUCUUCAGAAGCCUCCAUCGCGGCUGGUCGUAGCUGUAGAAGCCUCUGAGCCAUUCUGCUCACGUUUUAUGACACGGCUUACUCGAUGCGGAGUGCCGACGUGGAGGAGACUAGGGUGCCUUGGUGGUGGGACCCUUUGCAUGUACACACCUGCCUUGUUUGGUUUAUUAGUAUGGAGCAGAGAAGAAGAAAAAGCAGCUCAGGAGUCAUCAGCCCCUCACCCCACACUUAAAGCCAGCUUGAGUAGAUAUUCUGUAAAAAGAGCUGUGUGAUAAAACCAAUGAUACUUCUGAGGCAGUUUCCAGCUCAGUCUCAGAGGAGAAACAAGAUUUUGCUGUCCCAAGAAGCCAGGAUGGUAACAUCACUGCCACUCUGCACGAUCCCAGCACUGCUCCAGAGAAACCUAAAGGAAAGGCCUGGGUGGUGUUCACAGAGAGACAGUUGAAUAUUCUUGUCCAUCAGUUUAAUUUGAAACAUUACUGUGACCCAAGAGAGAUGAAACAGCUGGCAGAGAUGACAGGACUGACUUAUAAACAGGUAAAAACUUGGUUUCAAAACAGACGGAGUAAGUUUAGGAGGAGGUCACAUCCUCAGCAUGUGAAUCAGGGCGUCCCACUUCAUUUUCAGGGAGAGGGACAGCCCCCACUCAGGCAGGAGUACACCCAGCACCUGGAUGUAAACUUAAUCACAAAUGGUGCAAAUUAUCAGGGCCCCUAUCCUCAUCUUGUGGAUAAUUUUGUGGCUGGACCUCAAUGGACCUUCCCCACCUCACCACAGACGCUUGGCUGGUCGAUGCCACCAGGCAACCGCAAUUAUGAAUUCAACCCCGGUGUAUGAAUGCACAACACAACAACUCCGGGCUUCACAAUACAAGUUUUGAAGGAGCAAGUGGAGAGCCUUGCCAGCAGCUAAUGAUCCUUUAACUACAAAUAUUGUCAUUUAUAUCAGCAUUCUUUGUAUUACAUUUUAAUCUUCUUUUUUUCAUGUAGCUCAACAUAACAGUCUCUUUCAGUAAAUGAAAGGAACAUGGUGAAUUUUCGGCCCUUUAUUUUUAAUCAUCGGACUAAAAAAAAAAUUGAAUUCAGUCGACUUUGGCUAUUGUAAAUACAUUUUAGUCUAUCCAAAAAUAUUAAGAGAUGAAGUCAUGAAAAUUUGUUUUGUUUCAGUUGUAUCUUCCAGUAUUUGUAAAAAAAUAAUGGACAUGAAGGAUAUUAUCUGCCUUGUGUAUGAGAAACUGUAAAUACAAUAUUAGUUUCACCAAUUCAAAA